Cavia porcellus (domestic guinea pig) is the source of this 2425-nucleotide long non-coding RNA. RefSeq lists it as uncharacterized. NCBI's taxonomy places the organism in Eukaryota, Metazoa, Chordata, Mammalia, Rodentia, Caviidae. The record is from RefSeq and is a predicted model, not a curated record. The transcript has 3 exons.
CUCUGUCACUUUGGGGUCACUAGUAAGUAUGCAUGCGAUGACUCAAAUGCAAGCCCUGUAGUGUCACUGCUCAGUUGGUACCCAAGGCGGUCCCGAUGAGCGGAGAGUGUUUGCUGCUUGGAUACAGAGGGCAGAAGAUGGUUUACUAUCCAGGCAGCAUGGAAUGGGAGGUGUGAGAUUGCCUCACGCUCCUCAGAUGGGAACACAACUUAAAACUUGUGGAUUGUUAAUUUCUGCAAUUUACAACUUGUUAUUUUCAGGCCAAGGUUACCUUUAGGGGACUGAAGACCUGGCGAGGGCACUGUAGACUCUUCCUGGUAAGACUAAGGCUACAACGUCAUGUUGUCCGAUUUCUAAAGGAGAAGGAACCGAAUGCCAAUAUGCAAAGCAGCAAAGAGAGCUACUGCUAAUUAUCAGUAAUCAUUACUAAAAUUCUUUCCCAUUCAAUCACAGGAAACCAACAAAUCCUUUCUGAAAGAAACCAAGCCCAAUAAAAUGAUCUUCUGUACAUGCGGUGUUCAAUGCCUGACCCACUUCCAGUGCAGCCCAGCCCAGCCCAGCGUGGCCCAGGCCUGGCCGGGGGCUUUGCUUCCCACCCUGCCUGGCCACGGCUGUCCUGUCCCACAGGUCCACUCACAGCAGACAUAGACCGGUGAGAAGCAAGAGGGCCGGCUGUUCAGUGACUCUAUGGACUGCUGCCCAAGUCUCAUUAAGCUAAUUCAGAUUUAUUUUACAUCCUGGACACCUGAGUCCGUACCUAACUUGUCAAAGGAUCAUUCACAAACGGGAAAGCACGGCUUCUCCACGCACACAGACCUCAGUCCCCUGCUCACUCUCCAGGUUUGGCAGCUGCUGCACUCAGAGGCCCUGGCUGGCUGACACACCUGCUCAUCUCCCUUCAGGAGCCCUGUGACCGCCCGGACCCCAGCACCCUCCGUGUCGGGAUUUGCAGUGAAGAGUGAACCUUUCAAGAUUAACAUAGAGACAGUAGGCGUCUACCUCCAAAAUGAUUGUGUGUGUUCCCCAUCCAUCUUCAUCCCAGGUGACCCACAGAAACACGCUUAGGUGUGGCCCAGAAAAGAAUCCACCUAUCCAUAUCCAGCCACCAUCUAUCAUUCAUACAACUCUCUGCCUUCCUACCCAUCCAUCCAUUUUCCAGCCAUCAGCCCAUCUAUUUACCCAUCUAUCACCCACCCAUCCAUUUUCAUCAACCCUUCUAUCCAUUCACACAUUAUUCCUCCAUUCAUCCACUCUUCUGUCUAUUCACUGACUCAUCCAUCCAUCCAUCCACCCACCCAUCCAUCUAUCCACCCAUCCAUCCACCUACCCAUCCAUCCAUCCACCCAUCCACCACCCAUCCAUCCAUCUACCCAUCCAUCUAUCCAUCCAUCCACCCACCCUCCAUCCACCCAUCCAUCCACCCACCCAUCCAUCCAUCCAUCCAUCCAUCCAUCCAUUCAUCCACCCAUUCAUCCAUCCAUCCAUCCAUCCAUCCAUGCACCCAUCUACCUACCCAUCUACCCAUCCACCCAUCUACCAAAACCCCUACUGGGGUAUCCAUCUAGAACUUUACUGUUACUGAGGGUAUUAGUCUAACCCACCCAGCAAUAUGGCAACAUGGGUGCAAAAGAAAGACAAAGAGAAUAUUCUGCCGCUGAGGAGUCCUGGGAUGACCCAGUCAUCUGUGGAACAAAAGAGUGUUUGUGAAAAGUUCAGUCUCAAGCUGAUCCCAUCCUACCAAGCCGGGCCUCUGAGCUUCUUUGAACUCUCACUGUAGGUAACUGUGUGGAGCCUCAGGCAUCCCAUCGGGAUCCCUUCUGUAUCUAUGGCUCCAAUUUUGUUUGUUUUCUGUGAGACUGAGGUAGAGGCAGAAGAAAUCAUCUCUUGCUUUUAAUGUCAUACUUGGUCUACUCGUUUCUAGCUGGAUGCUGUGCAGGUAUGACCAUGUCCCUUUAAAAACCAUGUUGCAAUUUAAUUCCUGGUGCCACUGCGUUAAGAGACGGGCCUGGAGGAAGUGACUGGACUUUGAGGGCCCUGAAAAUACUCAGGGGGUGGAGUCAGCACCAUCCUAGGACUGCAGAGGGAGAGAACCAGGCCCCAUGGAAGGAGAUCCCCGCCCAGAAACCAUCCUUGUUUUGUUGGGUUGGAUAUUUAUUUUCUUUUGAUUUGUUUAUGUUAAGUCUGAUGGCAUGAGCAGCUAUUUAAAAGAUAGCAAGGCAUGUUAUGGAAGCUGUUAUAUAUUUACUACUGGCUUGUUUUGAUGUCCUUUAUUGCAUCCAUUGUUUUGUUUUUAUUUUUUCUAUUCUAUUCUGUUCUGUUUGAUUUUUACUAUGUCUGAAGGUGAUAUCUGAGCUAUUCUGAAGACAACAAAGGCCUUGUGGUAACUAUUGUUGAUUUCAUAAGGUUUGGAAGUCCUGUAUCACUU